Molecule: ribosomal RNA, 429 nt
Filed under: Bacillota bacterium
Lineage: Bacteria; Bacillati; Bacillota
Description: Firmicutes bacterium partial 16S ribosomal RNA
Rfam family: Bacterial small subunit ribosomal RNA
Source: RNAcentral
UAGGGAAUCUUCGGCAAUGGACGGAAGUCUGACCGAGCAACGCCGCGUGAGUGAAGAAGGUUUUCGGAUCGUAAAGCUCUGUUGUUAGAGAAGAACGUUGGUAGGAGCGGAAAAUCUACCAAGUGACGGUAACUAACCAGAAAGGGACGGCUAACUACGUGCCAGCAGCCGCGGUAAUACGUAGGUCCCGAGCGUUGUCCGGAUUUAUUGGGCGUAAAGCGAGCGCAGGCGGUUCUUUAAGUCUGAAGUUAAAGGCAGUGGCUUAACCAUUGUACGCUUUGGAAACUGGAGGACUUGAGUGCAGAAGGGGAGAGUGGAAUUCCAUGUGUAGCGGUGAAAUGCGUAGAUAUAUGGAGGAACACCGGUGGCGAAAGCGGCUCUCUGGUCUGUAACUGACGCUGAGGCUCGAAAGCGUGGGGAGCAAACAGG